AUUUUUGUAGUUGAUUUACAACGGCGGUUUUUCAUGCUGCAGGACUCAAUUGAGUAAAAAUU
This 62-nucleotide transfer RNA is filed under the name Pseudoxenodon bambusicola. RNAcentral's name for it is "tRNA-Glu". The record is from RNAcentral. Lineage: Eukaryota; Metazoa; Chordata; Lepidosauria; Squamata; Pseudoxenodontidae.